AGUUUCUUGAAACAGCUCCAUAUUCUUUCUCCUGGCCUCCCACAUAUUCCCUGGGCUAGAAAUCUCUUUCUUGAUUUUAAUCUUGGCGGCCACCCUCCAUGACAGCCUUAGGUCUGCACAUUCAUCGAGAGAGCCUUGCUUCCUUCCCAGAACCCUGCACACGGGUGUACAUGGGUACACAUACAUGCACACACACAUGCACACACAUAUGCACACACAUGUACACACUUACAUGCACGCACGCGCACACACACAUAUACACACACACAUCCUUUGUUAGGAGUGAGUUUACUACUACAUUCUGGCCUGUCUCCCACAUUCGAGUCAGGCGAAGGGGAACAGCAGCUUUGAAGAUGGAUUUAACCAGUUCUUCCUGAGGGCGGAUUGCGGUCUCCUUAUCUGACCCUUGCUGAGAGAGAAGGAGCAGCGUGGAGGAGGCGGCAGUCAGGGAAGCCUUGUCUCAGUCCAAGAGCAAAGUGACUACUGUGUGCUGAGCACUGGAGCUUGGUGACCCAAAGAUGAAUAAGACUCGACUCUUAUCCUUAAGGAGCCUGCAGUCUGAUCAAGUCAUUACUGAGAAGAGAGGAAGGAAAAGAUACCCUUGGCCUUUCCAACUUGUCAAGGGUCAACUGAAUUCCUGAGCUGGUCCCCCUGAGAGGGCAGUGGGCGAGAUUCCAGCAGGUAAUGGAUGAGCACAGCUAUGCCCUGACAGGGACAUUGCCUGCAAUUGGUUCCAGUCAUAUAUGGAGCCAAACUGCUUUGAAAAUUGGGGGGGGGAUGGUGACAGAAGAGAGCAGGCCCGCCCCUCCCCCAUCCCCUAGGAGCCUAGGGCCCUGUCUUGAUCCCCCUUCUGGGAGAUGAAACGUGUGGUUUCCCAAAGCUAGGAGCAGAGCAAAUAUCUUCUGCCUCGGAGGGGUUGGUCUCUGCACAGGCUGGGAACCCCCAGGGAAGCAGCACUGAGGGCCCUAGGAGAGAGGGCAGAGGCCAGAGGCAGGGUACUGCCUGCUCAGAAGGUCAGAUUCCAGAGCAAACAGCAAGCUGUCUGCCUUUUCAGACUCUGAAAGGAUGGGGGUAGGGGCAGGAAGGGAGGGUGAAAGUUUAGAGCCUCUGUGGGUGGGGAAGGGGCCUCUAGGGUCUGACAGGCACCCCCAGGACACUGUGUCUGCCCAAGCGUUUGCUGGGAAAGUAGAGGCCAGUGCAGCCACCGGUUGAGUGCCGCCACUGGGUCAGCACAGCGGCCGGGUGAGUGCAGCCCUCGGAUUUUGCCCCAAUAACCAGAGUCCCAUUAGCACAGUCUGAACAGGGGGCCUGGAAGAGCACUUCGCCCUCCUCUGUCAUUUAGGGGGGAAACAGUUCACACAGGGACAACUACCAUCUUGAGUCUCUUCUGUCAACUGCCCUGUGGUCUGUCUGGCCACACUGGGACAGAGCAUCACUCCAGUAAACCCUCUGAGCUCAUUUCCCUAGCUGAGCAGGUUCCCGCCUCUGUUCCUAGAGCACCAGCAUGAGUGAGCCUCAGGAACCACCCCAGAUUUUAGGAGUUAGGAGUGGGUCUAGCUGUGUUGAUGGCCACCUGGGGCUCUGGUGAACUCUAGCCUCCUCCCAUCCGCCCACCGAGGGCAUCGUCAGGCCUCUGUGCUGAGCCAUUUGCCUCCUGCUCUGCCCCAAACCUGUUCAGCCCCCAACAUUCUCACUUUCCUGUCCCCUUCAUGCUUCUUAGGUCAUUUCUCUCUGCUUCUGCAAACCUCCCUGCCAAAUGUUCCCCCACCCCAAACCAACCCUUUUCAUCUCUAUGUCCCCCCGUGUACACCUCUCUCAAAAUGCAGGGCCACGGGGCCCUCCUUCUUAGGGACUAGGCCAUGCCUAGGGGUAGGGCUGGUGUGGCAUUAGUGACAAAAACUGCUAUGUCUACCCACGUAAAUCACAUAAAUAUACAAGCAGGGGCCAGGCGUGGUGGCUCAUGCCUAUAAUCCCAACACUUUGGGAGGCCGAGGCGGGUGGAUAACUUGAGGCCAGGAGUUCAAGACCAGCCUGGCCAACAUAGUGAAACCCCGUCUCUACUAAAAAUACAAAAAUUAGCUGGGGGGGUGGUGGUGCACGCCUGUAAUCCCAGCUACUCAGGAGGCUGAGGCAGGAGAAUCGCUUGAACCCGGGAGGUAGAGGUUGCAGUGAGCCGAGAUCUUGCCAUUGCACUCCAGCCUGGGCAACAGAGUGAGACUCUGUCUC
Molecule: long non-coding RNA, 2226 nt
Filed under: Pan troglodytes (chimpanzee)
Lineage: Eukaryota; Metazoa; Chordata; Mammalia; Primates; Hominidae
Description: lincRNA
Source: RNAcentral